Ipomoea nil (Japanese morning glory) is the source of this 858-nucleotide long non-coding RNA. RefSeq lists it as uncharacterized. The record is from RefSeq and is a predicted model, not a curated record. NCBI's taxonomy places the organism in Eukaryota, Viridiplantae, Streptophyta, Magnoliopsida, Solanales, Convolvulaceae. The transcript is spliced from 5 exons.
CUCUUUCCACCUCCCGUGCAUCUCAGUAUCUCACCCACUCUCACUAUCUCCCCAUCUCUCUUUCUGUUCACUAUCUAUUUCCCUUCUCUUCACCAUAAAUUACUUGUGGGUUUUUCUCAGGUAUCAUCAUUGACUAACCAUAAGACAAAAAAUCGCCGCUGCAAAUCUCCGCUCGUACACUUCCCGCCGCACCAAAUCCAUCACGACAGCCGCCUCUUCCCGCCGUUCCUCGACCAACUCCGACAGCCUACAGCAGCAGUGCACGCAUGGGUCUUCGCCGUCACAGUCGCUUGCCAUCGCCAUUUCUUUUGAGCUAAGAACUCAACUAUGUCAAAUUUCUCUGUUGGCUCCAACAAGUCUGCAAAUCUUUUAAUAAAGGACCAAACAGUUAGUGGGAUCUUGUGUACAAUAAGACUUACACAGGUAGAAGAAAGAGAGUGGACCAUAGAUUCGACCCAAGCAUCCACAUCAGGGAUGUCUUUCAGUGUGCAGUAUUCAAAGAAGACAUCCAGGGAAGGAUGAUUGAUAGACGGGAUAUAGAUGCUUCAUUUGAUAACUUUCCAUAUUACUUAAGGUGGCAAAGCUAUUGAUGAAAAAGGGCAUACCAAACACCACAUAGAAAGUAAUUUUUUUUUUUUUUGUAUGAAGUAGACUAGACAUUUUUGCUUUGGGGCUGCUUUUGUCUAAACUAAACAUGUUUAUCUGUACCAUCUCAUUUUUCAAAAUAGCCAAUAUAUACAUUACUAUGGCUAUUUGUUAUAAUUAGUUUCUUUACCUUUAAUCUUUACAAAGUUGUAUGAAACAUUUCAUUUUGGUAGUGAUGAUGAAGUCUUUUAAUAUAUUGAUUGAGUUUACUUU